ACACACACACACACACACCCCCCAACACACACUCCCUGUCCCCUUUCUCCACCCUGCAAGCUAGUUGCAUUUAGCUCACAGAGCCUGGGCUGCGACUUGAAAGAGUUUAGGCAGCAACAGAGUGACCCUGGGGGUGCUCUUGACCGACAGCCGCACCCCCGGCGUCUAGGACCUCCGAGCAGGGAUGCAUCUGGAGGUCUAGGGAAGCACUUCCACCCCCUCCUCUCCUCAACCCUGGCAGGAUGUGCCCGAAAUGCCAGCUCCUCCUUGGUGUUCUCCUUUCAGGAUUUGAAUUCAAAUCCCAUUGGCAGCCCUGAUACCGCUGGGGGAAGGGUGAGGCUACUGCUGCUUCAAGACAGUGACGUUUCUCUCCGGUCAGCUGUCAGGAGCGCUGGUGAGCUUCCUACUGUGCCACAAGCUGGGUCUUACUGGGGAUCUGGCCAGCCUUGGGGGCCCUUGGAGCCCUGGCCCAGUGGAAGCUCGUGCCUGAGGAACAUGGAGGCCACGCUAAUGAUGGAGUCUCACUCUGUCACCCAUGCUGGAGUACAGUGG
RNAcentral lists this small RNA (552 nucleotides) under Pan troglodytes (chimpanzee). RNAcentral describes it as "processed transcript". Lineage: Eukaryota; Metazoa; Chordata; Mammalia; Primates; Hominidae. The record is from RNAcentral.